UACGGAGGGGGCUAGCGUUGUCCGAAGUUACUGGGCGUAAAGCGCGCGUAGGCGGGUUGGUAAGGCCGCUGUGAAAGCCCGGAGCUCAACUCCGGAGGGUCGGUGGAUACUGCCAGUCUUGAAGGUGCUAGGGGGAGAUGGAAUUACCGGUGUAGCGGUGAAAUGCGUAGAUAUCGGUAGGAACACCAGUGGCGAAGGCGGUCUCCUGGGGCAUUCUUGACGCUGAGGCGCGAAAGCUGGGGGAGCGAACGGG
RNAcentral lists this ribosomal RNA (253 nucleotides) under uncultured bacterium. RNAcentral describes it as "partial 16S ribosomal RNA". It matches the Rfam family "Bacterial small subunit ribosomal RNA", at positions 524 to 776 of the family's 1533-position model. The record is from RNAcentral.